This 2928-nucleotide ribosomal RNA is filed under the name Bacillus sp. LJBV19. RNAcentral describes it as "23S ribosomal RNA". It matches the Rfam family "Bacterial large subunit ribosomal RNA". The record is from RNAcentral. Lineage: Bacteria; Bacillati; Bacillota; Bacilli; Caryophanales; Bacillaceae.
GGUUAAGUUAGAAAGGGCGCACGGUGGAUGCCUUGGCACUAGGAGCCGAUGAAGGACGGGACGAACACCGAUAUGCUUCGGGGAGCUGUAAGCAAGCUUUGAUCCGGAGAUUUCCGAAUGGGGAAACCCACCACUCGUAAUGGAGUGGUAUCCAUAUCUGAAUACAUAGGAUAUGAGAAGGCAGACCCGGGGAACUGAAACAUCUAAGUACCCGGAGGAAGAGAAAGCAAAUGCGAUUCCCUGAGUAGCGGCGAGCGAAACGGGACCAGCCCAAACCAAGAGGCUUGCCUCUUGGGGUUGUAGGACACUCUGUACGGAGUUACAAAGGAACGAGGUAGAUGAAGAGGUCUGGAAAGGCCCGCCAUAGGAGGUAACAGCCCUGUAGUCAAAACUUCGUUCUCUCCUGAGUGGAUCCUGAGUACGGCGGAACACGUGAAAUUCCGUCGGAAUCCGGGAGGACCAUCUCCCAAGGCUAAAUACUCCCUAGUGACCGAUAGUGAACCAGUACCGUGAGGGAAAGGUGAAAAGCACCCCGGAAGGGGAGUGAAAGAGAUCCUGAAACCGUGUGCCUACAAGUAGUCAGAGCCCGUUAACGGGUGAUGGCGUGCCUUUUGUAGAAUGAACCGGCGAGUUACGAUCCCGUGCAAGGUUAAGCAGAAGAUGCGGAGCCGCGCGAAAGCGAGUCUGAAUAGGGCGAAUUGAGUACGUGGUCGUAGACCCGAAACCAGGUGAUCUACCCAUGUCCAGGGUGAAGUUCAGGUAACACUGAAUGGAGGCCCGAACCCACGCACGUUGAAAAGUGCGGGGAUGAGGUGUGGGUAGGGGUGAAAUGCCAAUCGAACCUGGAGAUAGCUGGUUCUCUCCGAAAUAGCUUUAGGGCUAGCCUCAAGGUAAGAGUCUCGGAGGUAGAGCACUGAUUGGACUAGGGGCCCCUACCGGGUUACCGAAUUCAGUCAAACUCCGAAUGCCGAUGACUUAUCCUUGGGAGUCAGACUGCGAGUGAUAAGAUCCGUAGUCGAAAGGGAAACAGCCCAGACCGCCAGCUAAGGUCCCAAAGUAUACGUUAAGUGGAAAAGGAUGUGGAGUUGCUUAGACAACCAGGAUGUUGGCUUAGAAGCAGCCACCAUUUAAAGAGUGCGUAAUAGCUCACUGGUCGAGUGACUCUGCGCCGAAAAUGUACCGGGGCUAAACGUAUCACCGAAGCUGCGGACUGUUCUUCGAACAGUGGUAGGAGAGCGUUCUAAGGGCUGUGAAGCAAGACCGGAAGGACUUGUGGAGCGCUUAGAAGUGAGAAUGCCGGUAUGAGUAGCGAAAGAGGGGUGAGAAUCCCCUCCACCGAAUGCCUAAGGUUUCCUGAGGAAGGCUCGUCCGCUCAGGGUUAGUCGGGACCUAAGCCGAGGCCGAAAGGCGUAGGCGAUGGAUAACAGGUUGAUAUUCCUGUACCACCUCCUCACCAUUUGAGCAAUGGGGGGACGCAGGAGGAUAGGGUAAGCGCGGUAUUGGAUAUCCGCGUCCAAGCAGUUAGGCUGGGAAAUAGGCAAAUCCGUUUCCCGUGAAGGCUGAGCUGUGAUGGCGAGCGAAUUAUAGUAGCGAAGUUCCUGAUUCCACACUGCCAAGAAAAGCCUCUAGCGAGGUGAGAGGUGCCCGUACCGCAAACCGACACAGGUAGGCGAGGAGAGAAUCCUAAGGUGAUCGAGAGAACUCUCGUUAAGGAACUCGGCAAAAUGACCCCGUAACUUCGGGAGAAGGGGUGCUCUGUUAGGGUGCAAGCCCGAGAGAGCCGCAGUGAAUAGGCCCAGGCGACUGUUUAGCAAAAACACAGGUCUCUGCGAAGCCGUAAGGCGAAGUAUAGGGGCUGACGCCUGCCCGGUGCUGGAAGGUUAAGAGGAGCGCUUAGCGUAAGCGAAGGUGCGAAUUGAAGCCCCAGUAAACGGCGGCCGUAACUAUAACGGUCCUAAGGUAGCGAAAUUCCUUGUCGGGUAAGUUCCGACCCGCACGAAAGGCGCAACGAUCUGGGCACUGUCUCAACGAGAGACUCGGUGAAAUUAUAGUACCUGUGAAGAUGCAGGUUACCCGCGACAGGACGGAAAGACCCCGUGGAGCUUUACUGCAGCCUGAUAUUGAAUGUUGGUACAGCUUGUACAGGAUAGGUAGGAGCCUUGGAAACCGGAGCGCCAGCUUCGGUGGAGGCAUCGGUGGGAUACUACCCUGGCUGUAUUGACCUUCUAACCCGCCGCCCUUAUCGGGCGGGGAGACAGUGUCAGGUGGGCAGUUUGACUGGGGCGGUCGCCUCCUAAAAGGUAACGGAGGCGCCCAAAGGUUCCCUCAGAAUGGUUGGAAAUCAUUCGCAGAGUGUAAAGGCACAAGGGAGCUUGACUGCGAGACCUACAAGUCGAGCAGGGACGAAAGUCGGGCUUAGUGAUCCGGUGGUUCCGCAUGGAAGGGCCAUCGCUCAACGGAUAAAAGCUACCCCGGGGAUAACAGGCUUAUCUCCCCAAGAGUCCACAUCGACGGGGAGGUUUGGCACCUCGAUGUCGGCUCAUCGCAUCCUGGGGCUGUAGUCGGUCCCAAGGGUUGGGCUGUUCGCCCAUUAAAGCGGUACGCGAGCUGGGUUCAGAACGUCGUGAGACAGUUCGGUCCCUAUCCGUCGCGGGCGCAGGAAAUUUGAGAGGAGCUGUCCUUAGUACGAGAGGACCGGGAUGGACGCACCGCUGGUGUACCAGUUGUUCUGCCAAGGGCAUCGCUGGGUAGCUAUGUGCGGACGGGAUAAGUGCUGAAAGCAUCUAAGCAUGAAGCCCCCCUCAAGAUGAGAUUUCCCAUUCCGCAAGGAAGUAAGAUCCCUGAAAGAUGAUCAGGUUGAUAGGUCUGAGGUGGAAGUGUGGCGACACAUGGAGCUGACAGAUACUAAUCGAUCGAGGACUUAACCAA